This 68-nucleotide transfer RNA is filed under the name Podarcis lilfordi (Lilford's wall lizard). RNAcentral describes it as "tRNA.Asn". The stretch from base 6 to 60 matches the Rfam family "tRNA", at positions 10 to 63 of the family's 71-position model. Rfam says of the family: Transfer RNA (tRNA) molecules are approximately 80 nucleotides in length. Lineage: Eukaryota; Metazoa; Chordata; Lepidosauria; Squamata; Lacertidae. The record is from RNAcentral.
GAGGUGCAGUGGGUCAAUGUGUCUGGCUGUUAACCAGAAGGUUGGUGGUUUGAGACCACUUAGGGACA